RNAcentral lists this ribosomal RNA (164 nucleotides) under Gomphrena celosioides. RNAcentral describes it as "5.8S ribosomal RNA". It matches the Rfam family "5.8S ribosomal RNA". From Rfam's summary of the family: 5.8S ribosomal RNA (5.8S rRNA) is a component of the large subunit of the eukaryotic ribosome. It is transcribed by RNA polymerase I as part of the 45S precursor that also contains 18S and 28S rRNA. The record is from RNAcentral. Lineage: Eukaryota; Viridiplantae; Streptophyta; Magnoliopsida; Caryophyllales; Amaranthaceae.
UAAAAUGACUCUCGGCAACGGAUAUCUCGGCUCUCGCAUCGAUGAAGAACGUAGCGAAAUGCGAUACUUGGUGUGAAUUGCAGAAUCCCGUGAACCAUCGAGUUUUUGAACGCAAGUUGCGCCCGAAGCCUUUUGGCCAGGGCACGUCUGCCUGGGCGUCACGC